RNAcentral lists this ribosomal RNA (253 nucleotides) under uncultured bacterium. Its description in RNAcentral is "partial 16S ribosomal RNA". It matches the Rfam family "Bacterial small subunit ribosomal RNA", at positions 524 to 776 of the family's 1533-position model. The record is from RNAcentral.
UACGUAGGGUCCGAGCGUUGUCCGGAAUUACUGGGCGUAAAGAGCUCGUAGGCGGUUUGUCGCGUCUGCUGUGAAAACUCGGGGCUUAACUCCGGGCCUGCAGUGGGUACGGGCAGACUAGAGUGCGGUAGGGGAGACUGGAAUUCCUGGUGUAGCGGUGAAAUGCGCAGAUAUCAGGAGGAACACCGGUGGCGAAGGCGGGUCUCUGGGCCGUAACUGACGCUGAGGAGCGAAAGCGUGGGGAGCAAACAGG